UGGCUCAGAACGACGCUGGCGGCGCGUUUAAGCAUGCAAGUCGAGCGGUAGCAGCAAUGCGAGAGCGGCGGACGGGUGAGUAACACGUGGGUAAUCUGCCCUUCGGUCGGGAAUAGCCUGGUGGAAACACAGGAUAAUACGGUGGAUGCGAUGGUCUCACACAAGUGGAGGUCAGGAAAGGAGCCAAGGCUCCGCCGGAGGAUGAGCCCGCGUCCCAUUAGCUAGAUGGUGAAGGUAAAGGCCCACCAUGGCGAUGAUGGGUAGCCGGCCUGAGAGGGUGAACGGCCACAUUGGAACCGAGACACGGUCCAGACUCCUACGGGAGGCAGCAGCUAAGAAUCUUCCACAAUGGACGAAAGUCUGAUGGAGCGACGCCGCGUGGGCGAUGAAGGGCCCGUGAGGUUGUAAAGCCCUUUUCUUGAGGGGGAAUAAUGCGGGCAGGGAAUGGCCUGCAGAUGACGUGAAUCAAGGAAUAAGCCCCGGCUGACUACGUGCCAGCCGCAGC
RNAcentral lists this ribosomal RNA (505 nucleotides) under uncultured bacterium. RNAcentral's name for it is "bacterial SSU rRNA". It matches the Rfam family "Bacterial small subunit ribosomal RNA", at positions 20 to 518 of the family's 1533-position model. The record is from RNAcentral.